UACGAGAGGCCCAAACGUUAUUCGGAUUUACUGGGCUUAAAGAGUUCGUAGGCGGUCUGGUAAGUGGGGUGUGAAAGCCCUCGGCUCAACCGAGGAAUUGCGCUCCAAACUGCCAGGCUCGAGGGAGAUAGAGGUGAGCGGAACUGAUGGUGGAGCGGUGAAAUGCGUUGAUAUCAUCAGGAACACCAGAGGCGAAGGCGGCUCACUGGGUCUCUUCUGACGCUGAGGAACGAAAGCUAGGGGAGCAAACGGG
Molecule: ribosomal RNA, 253 nt
Filed under: uncultured bacterium
Lineage: Bacteria
Description: partial 16S ribosomal RNA
Rfam family: Bacterial small subunit ribosomal RNA
Source: RNAcentral